CCGGAAGACCAAGGGUUCCUGUCCAACGUUAAUCGGGGCAGGGUGAGUCGACCCCUAAGGCGAGGCCGAAAGGCGUAGUCGAUGGGAAACAGGUUAAUAUUCCUGUACUUGGUGUUACUGCGAAGGGGGGACGGAGAAGGCUAUGUUAGCCGGGCGACGGUUGUCCCGGUUUAAGCAUGUAGGCGGAGGUUCCAGGUAAAUCCGGUACCUUUUAACGCUGAGGUGUGAUGACGAGGCACUACGGUGCUGAAGUAACAAAUGCCCUGCUUCCAGGAAAAGCCUCUAAGCAUCAGGUAACAUCAAAUCGUACCCCAAACCGACACAGGUGGUCAGGUAGAGAAUACCAAGGCGCUUGAGAGAACUCGGGUGAAGGAACUAGGCAAAAUGGUGCCGUAACUUCGGGAGAAGGCACGCUGAUAUGUAGGUGAAGCCCCUGCGGGUGGAGCUGAAAUCAGUCGAAGAUACCAGCUGGCUGCAACUGUUUAUUAAAAACACAGCACUGUGCAAACACGAAAGUGGACGUAUACGGUGUGACGCCUGCCCGGUGCCGGAAGGUUAAUUGAUGGGGUUAGCGGUAACGCGAAGCUCUUGAUCGAAGCCCCGGUAAACGGCGGCCGUAACUAUAACGGUCCUAAGGUAGCGAAAUUCCUUGUCGGGUAAGUUCCGACCUGCACGAAUGGCGUAAUGAUGGCCAGGCUGUCUCCACCCGAGACUCAGUGAAAUUGAACUCGCUGUGAAGAUGCAGUGUACCCGCGGCAAGACGGAAAGACCCCGUGAACCUUUACUAUAGCUUGACACUGAACACUGGUCCUUGAUGUGUAGGAUAGGUGGGAGGCUUUGAAGCGUGGACGCCAGUCUGCAUGGAGCCAUCCUUGAAAUACCACCCUUUAAUGGCUGGUGUUCUAACGUAGACCCGUUACCCGGGUUGCGGACAGUGUCUGGUGGGUAGUUUGACUGGGGCGGUCUCCUCCCAAAGAGUAACGGAGGAGCACGAAGGUUAGCUAAUCCUGGUCGGACAUCAGGAGGUUAGUGCAAUGGCAUAAGCUAGCUUGACUGCGAGAGUGACGGCUCGAGCAGGUGCGAAAGCAGGUCAUAGUGAUCCGGUGGUUCUGAAUGGAAGGGCCAUCGCUCAACGGAUAAAAGGUACUCCGGGGAUAAC
This 1159-nucleotide ribosomal RNA is filed under the name Enterobacter cloacae subsp. cloacae. RNAcentral's name for it is "bacterial LSU rRNA". It matches the Rfam family "Bacterial large subunit ribosomal RNA", at positions 1337 to 2478 of the family's 2925-position model. Lineage: Bacteria; Pseudomonadati; Pseudomonadota; Gammaproteobacteria; Enterobacterales; Enterobacteriaceae. The record is from RNAcentral.